GUCUCUGAAGCGCAAUGGAUAGCGCGUUGUACUUCUAAUCCAAAUGUUGUGGGUUCGGACCCAUCUGAGAUG
Trichonephila clavata is the source of this 72-nucleotide non-coding RNA. Lineage: Eukaryota; Metazoa; Arthropoda; Arachnida; Araneae; Nephilidae. The record is from the annotation of a GenBank genome assembly.